GACGAACGCUGGCGGCGUGCUUAACACAUGCAAGUCGAACGGUAAGGCCCUUCGGGGUACGCGAGUGGCGAACGGGUGAGUAACACGUGGGUGAUCUGCCCUGCACUUCGGGAUAAGCCUGGGAAACUGGGUCUAAUACCGGAUAGGACCACUGCCUGCAUGGGUGGUGGUGGAAAGCUUUUGCGGUGUGGGAUGGGCCCGCGGCCUAUCAGCUAGUUGGUGAGGUAACGGCUCACCAAGGCGACGACGGGUAGCCGGCCUGAGAGGGUGACCGGCCACACUGGGACUGAGACACGGCCCAGACUCCUACGGGAGGCAGCAGUGGGGAAUAUUGCACAAUGGGCGCAAGCCUGAUGCAGCAACGCCGCGUGAGGGAUGACGGCCUUCGGGUUGUAAACCUCCUUUAGUAGGGAAGAAGCGAAAGUGACGGUACCUGCAGAAAAAGCACCGGCUAACUACGUGCCAGCAGCCGCGGUAA
Molecule: ribosomal RNA, 478 nt
Filed under: uncultured bacterium
Lineage: Bacteria
Description: partial 16S ribosomal RNA
Rfam family: Bacterial small subunit ribosomal RNA
Source: RNAcentral